UUGUAGAAGUUUUGGAAAUUGUGUCAUAAAUGACUUUCUUUUCUCCGGCAAUAUCUAUGGACAUGUGUAGUCUGUGGCCAUUGAUGAUGGAAGUAUUGGCAGACUUUGCUAUCGACUACUUUCCAAGAGAACUGCACAUUUCCUCACUUGUAAAGAGCUAGACUACCAGCAAAGCCUUUGGAGUAUGAUUUCACCUAUAAAAAUAUGGAGGACAGUGAUAUUGAGCCAGCUCCAAAGCUCAUUCAAGUACUCUUCCAGAACUGCAAAGGGAAAGUGGAUCAAUGGGUUGAGCCCCAUAUCUCAGAGUCACUGUUGAGCAGUUGCGUUGGGCUAAGAAGUCAUACUUGAAAUGUCUUCUUU
Quercus lobata is the source of this 360-nucleotide long non-coding RNA. RefSeq lists it as uncharacterized. Lineage: Eukaryota; Viridiplantae; Streptophyta; Magnoliopsida; Fagales; Fagaceae. The record is from RefSeq and is a predicted model, not a curated record. The transcript is spliced from 3 exons.